This 1799-nucleotide unclassified non-coding RNA is filed under the name Pocillopora damicornis (cauliflower coral). RNAcentral's name for it is "protein kinase 2-like, transcript variant X2". Lineage: Eukaryota; Metazoa; Cnidaria; Anthozoa; Scleractinia; Pocilloporidae. The record is from RNAcentral.
CAGAGAUUGAAGGAUCAGUAAAACCAUCUGUCUUUGUUGUGGAAGGGACAUUCUCACGGAAAACAGAAGGGUCGAUCAAUGGAUCCUUGGUCGCUAUUAUAAUAGCACUCAGUGUCAGUGUAAUCAUCUUUAUUGGAUUGUGUUGUUUCUUGCGAAUAAAAUGCAAGCCCAUGAAGGAAAAUCCUGAGAGACACCAAGACAGGAGAGGAAUAACAGCUUAUUCAUUUACACCAGAAAUGGAUCUCGCGUCUGAAGCGGCCCAAGGUACUGUCGAAGAAAGAACUUCCGUUUUAUCAUCAGAAACACAUUUUGGUAUAGAAGAUACUUCGUUCACGGCAGAACAACGAGAGACAUCGAUACGAAACACAGAAAGCAUCUACAAGAAGCCAAGAGCAUCGCAAUGUUUGUUGUUGGCAACAUUUAAACCUGAAAUGAACCCUACAGCUCUUGAAACUAAACCAUACGAGUUACCAACAGGGCCUAAAACAUUUAAUUCUUCCGAGGAAUGUGAAAGGAGUAAUGGUUCAUCUCCAAGAACUUGUCUUUCUGAACAUAACCUUCAACCUUCAGCCGGUUUUGAAAACACAGAGAGUGGCAGAUUCAGCCACGGAGAGACCCAGGUGAUGUGCUCAACACGCCCCCGGCCUAAGCCUAGGAAAAAAUUCAAUAGAAAAGCACCAGGAACAUUACCUGUGGAAUGUCUGCGAAGCAACCCUUUGUGUGAUGAAGCAGGAGUUGAACACUGCGCACGCGCCAAAGUAUCAGAUCAAAUAGAUAUUGACGGCUCCACUCCUCAAACUUUCCGCGAAAAAACGUCCUAUCAAAAUGCAAGCUUGCCAAAAGCCCUUUGCAAGAACGCAGCAUAUCAAAAUUCAUCUCAGCUGCUAACAGCAGUUCAGGUGGAGUCACCAUAUACCCUCGUGUUCAGCAACAAAAAAUGGGAAGUUCCAAGUGAUCAUUUGUCACUGAUUGAGCGAAUUGGCGGUGGCACAUUUGGUGAAGUGUGGAAGGGUAGAGGACUGGAUGUUUGUGGUACUCAAGGCUGGUCUUUUGUCGCUGUUAAAAUGCUGAAGGAAAACUUCUCAAAGUCAGACCUGACGGAUUUGUUGUCUGAGCUGGACUUGCUGAAGAAACUGAAACCUCAUCCUAACGUGAUUCAACUUUUGGGCUGUUUAACCAAGGAUGUUAUUCGAUGUGAAGGAAGGCGCACGUUCAAACCACCCUUCGUUAUUCUGGAGUUUGUCCCUCACGGAGAUCUUCUUGGGUUUUUGAAAAGAAGUAGAGGGGAGACAGAUGAUUAUUAUGAUUUGAAAAGGAAAGAAAUUCCAAGAAAAAUAUCCAUACAACAACUUUAUAAAUUCACGUCUGAUAUCGCGCGAGGAAUGGAAUUCAUUUCAGCUCAUCAGCUCAUUCACCGAGACUUAGCAGCGAGAAACGUUUUAGUUGGAGAGGGUCUACGCUGUAAAAUUACUGAUUUUGGAAUGGCGAGAGACCUGGGAAGAGGUGAAAUAUAUGUCAGGAGGUCUAAUGGAGUUGUGCCGGUAAAGUGGAUGGCAGUCGAGUCCUUGACAAAACAAGUUUUUACCAUAAAAAGUGACGUGUGGAAACCCUUAUGAAGGAAUGUCGGGAGAAGAAGUCUUCCAGUACGUUGCAAAUGGUCACAGGUUACGAAGGACCUCAAAAGUCAGCCUAGAAUUAUAUGACCUGAUGUUGCAAUGUUGGCAGGAGGACCCUUUCAGGCGUCCAACAUUUGGCGCGAUCGCAUCUUGGACCGAAACUCUUGCUUAAUACCCUGAAAG